UUCGUAGAUUUCUGAUGAGAAGACUGAGAGUGAGAGGAGAGAACUGAUAUUGCUGUUCCUUUGGGGGCAGUGAUUGAAGUGUGAGAGGGAGUCGUGCGGAGACCAAGGGGGAGGUAGAGAGUGAAGUGGAGGUGAGAGUGAAGUGGAGGUGAGAGUGAACUGGAGGUGAGAGUGAACUGGAGGUGAGAAGAGGUGGAAUGGAGGUAAAGGAGAGUGAAGUGGAGGUGAGAGAGUGUGAACUGGAGGUGAGAGAGUGUGAACUGGAGGUGAGAGAGAGUGAAUUGGAGGUAAAGGAGAGUGAAUUGGAGGUAAAGGAGAGUGAAUUGGAGGUGAGAAGAGGUGAACUGGAGGUAAAGGAGAGUGAAUUGGAGGUGAGAGAGAGUGAACUGGAGGUGAGAAGAGGUGAACUGGAGGUGAGAAGAUGUGAACUGGAGGUAAAGGAGUGAACUGGANGUNANGGAGUGCAANNGANNUUNCNAUCCNNNNGNNGNCANNNNNNGANUUGUNNNNNNNNNNNNNNGGGAUAGGAUUGAGAGUGAAUGUGANCAGUGUGUANAAANNUUUGUGCAUAAAAUUUUGUGCANAAAAUNNNNGNNNGUUNGNGUCNGUUNGNGUUNGUUUGNGNNNGNUUGNGUCNGNUNGNGUCNGNNNNNGNGNUCGUAUGCCUGUGUUUGUGUUUGUGCGUAGUGCGGUUUUGUGUUUNGUAUGGCCGAGGGUCGUGUGUUGCCAAAACCUAUUAAAAAGGCCUUCAUUUUGCCCUCUAUAUGAUUUCUCUGGUCGUUAAAAUACCCCCCAGUUGAUACGGUUUGAAAUUCUUAGACUGUGAUUUUUGGGAGGGGUUUCAAUGUUGCACAGUUUCAAUGUUGCGCGAUAAAUGAAUAUACAAGAAGAAAUUGUGGCAGAGUGAGAACUGGUGGAGUGGGAAAUGAAAGAAAAAAUUUUGAAUGGACCCACAAGGACAUAAUAAUUCAAUACACGGCUCUUUUGGUUCAAUGCUUUUGUUUUAAACGUCUUUUUUCGGGCCAUUUUGAUUGACGCUUAGUGGUGGUCAGUAGCGCGCGCACUCCGAAAAAUAUGCGGAUUUUACGCAACUUUUGUUAGACUUUUUCAAAAAGAAUAUUUUUGCAGCAGGCAAACUGCGCGGCUGCAGCAUUUUGCGACCGGAGGUACUAUAUGAGAGAGAAAUCUCUUAGGAAUAGUGAGAGCAUUUGUAUGAACUUUUCACAAGUUCACACAAUAUACCUCCGAAUUCCGAUGGAAUAAGAAGAUUUAUAAGAAUUUUAUAUGAACUUUCAUAUAAACUCAUAUAAACUCUCAUAAAACCUUCCUAUUUCUUGGCCCUGCGAUUUAUCGCUCAAGUCUCGGGCUGACAACGUCUCCCCGAGCAAGGUGAAACAGUGGAUUACUAGGCAAUGCCAAGUCCACCAAAACCCAGAUCAUUAGAUCUUUUUGCUACGAGUCAGUGGACAAUCCAGUUAGUAAUAACUUCUACAUAGUUAUCUGGUUG
This 1507-nucleotide unclassified non-coding RNA is filed under the name Metschnikowia bowlesiae. RNAcentral describes it as "partial external transcribed spacer". Lineage: Eukaryota; Fungi; Ascomycota; Pichiomycetes; Serinales; Metschnikowiaceae. The record is from RNAcentral.